AAAUGAAUUGACGGGGGCUCGCACAAGCAGUGGAACAUGGGGUUUAAUUCGACAAUAAGCGGGGCACCUCACCAAGGUUUGACAUCUACGGAAUCCCCUGGAAACAGGGGAGUGCCCGCAAGGGAGCCGUAAGACAGGUGCUGCACGGUCGUCGUCAGCUCGUGGCAUGAGUUGUUCCGUUAAGUCGGGAAACGAGCGCAACCCUUAUCGUCUGUUAAAUUUCUCAGGCGAGACUGCCUCCGUAAGGGGGAGGAAGGUGGGGAUGACGUCAGAUCAGCGUGGCCUUUAUACCUUGGGCGACACCCGUGUUACAAUGGCUGGUACAGAGGGUUGCAAUAUCGCAAGAUGGAGCUAAUCCCUAAAACCAGUCCCAGUUCGGAUUGCAGUCUGAAACUCGACUGCAUGAAGCCGGAAUUGCUAGUAACCGUAGAUCAGCCACGCUACGGUGAAUACGUUCUCGAGCCUUGCACACACCGCCCGU
This 481-nucleotide ribosomal RNA is filed under the name uncultured bacterium. RNAcentral's name for it is "bacterial SSU rRNA". It matches the Rfam family "Bacterial small subunit ribosomal RNA", at positions 903 to 1397 of the family's 1533-position model. The record is from RNAcentral.